GGGGAAUAUUGGACAAUGGGGGCAACCCUGAUCCAGCGAUGCCGCGUGAGUGAAGAAGGCCUUCGGGUCGUAAAGCUCUUUAGGUUGGGAAGAAGUGUAUUAGGUUCAUAGCCUAGUAUGUUGACGGUACCGACAGAAUAAGCACCGGCAAACUCUGUGCCAGCAGCCGCGGUAAUACAGAGGGUGCAAGCGUUAAUCGGAGUUACUGGGCGUAAAGGGCGCGUAGGCGGUUAUAUGUGUGUGAUGUGAAAGCCCCGGGCUUAACCUGGGAAGUGCAUCGCAAACUGUAUAGCUAGAGUAUAUGAGAGGGUGGCGGAAUUUCCGGUGUAGCGGUGAAAUGCGUAGAGAUCGGAAGGAACGUCAAUGGCGAAGGCAGCCACCUGGCAUAAUACUGACGCUGAGGCGCGAAAGCGUGGGGAGCGAAC
Molecule: ribosomal RNA, 425 nt
Filed under: uncultured bacterium
Lineage: Bacteria
Description: bacterial SSU rRNA
Rfam family: Bacterial small subunit ribosomal RNA
Source: RNAcentral